UGCACUUCGCACAGGAUAUAUCCAAGUAAACCUGGUACAUGCAUCAACACUCAACAUUUAUAACCAUGAGAUGUUGGCAAACUUUCAAUAUAUAGUAAUUCAAAAAGUAUGUUAGAUAUUAAUAUUUCAAUAAACAGUACAUCAGUAAUGUGGCAAUAAGCAAAUGCUUAUGAUUACUAAACACAUGAAUUACAGUAUUUCCC
Molecule: non-coding RNA, 203 nt
Organism: Pelobates cultripes (western spadefoot toad)
Lineage: Eukaryota; Metazoa; Chordata; Amphibia; Anura; Pelobatidae
Source: the annotation of a GenBank genome assembly